UUAAGUCAGAUGUGAAAGCCCGGGGCUCAACCUCGGAAUUGCAUUUGAAACUGGCAGACUAGAGUACUGUAGAGGGGGGUAGAAUUUCAGGUGUAGCGGUGAAAUGCGUAGAGAUCUGAAGGAAUACCGGUGGCGAAGGCGGCCCCCUGGACAGAUACUGACACUCAGAUGCGAAAGCGUGGGGAGCAAACAGGAUUAGAUACCCUGGUAGUCCACGCCGUAAACGAUGUCUACUUGGAGGUUGUGGCCUUGAGCCGUGGCUUUCGGAGCUAACGCGUUAAGUAGACCGCCUGGGGAGUACGGUCGCAAGAUUAAAACUCAAAUGAAUUGACGGGGGCCCGCACAAGCGGUGGAGCAUGUGGUUUAAUUCGAUGCAACGCGAAGAACCUUACCUACUCUUGACAUCCAGAGAACUUUCCAGAGAUGGAUUGGUGCCUUCGGGAACUCUG
RNAcentral lists this ribosomal RNA (449 nucleotides) under Vibrio parahaemolyticus. RNAcentral's name for it is "bacterial SSU rRNA". It matches the Rfam family "Bacterial small subunit ribosomal RNA", at positions 583 to 1031 of the family's 1533-position model. Lineage: Bacteria; Pseudomonadati; Pseudomonadota; Gammaproteobacteria; Vibrionales; Vibrionaceae. The record is from RNAcentral.